Molecule: ribosomal RNA, 830 nt
Filed under: uncultured bacterium
Lineage: Bacteria
Description: bacterial SSU rRNA
Rfam family: Bacterial small subunit ribosomal RNA
Source: RNAcentral
AGAGUUUGAUGGUGGCUCAGGAUGAACGCUGACAGAAUGCUUAACACAUGCAAGUCUACUUGAACUUCGGUUUGGGUGGCGGACGGGUGAGUAACGCGUAAAGAACUUGCCUCACAGUUAGGGACAACAUUUGGAAACGAAUGCUAAUACCUGAUAUUAUGAUUUUAGGGCAUCCUAAGAUUAUGAAAGCUAUAUGCGCUGUGAGAGAGCUUUGCGUCCCAUUAGCUAGUUGGAGAGGUAACGGCUCACCAAGGCGAUGAUGGGUAGCCGGCCUGAGAGGGUGAACGGCCACAAGGGGACUGAGACACGGCCCUUACUCCUACGGGAGGCAGCAGUGGGGAAUAUUGGACAAUGGACCAAAAGUCUGAUCCAGCAAUUCUGUGUGCACGAUGACGUUUUUCGGAAUGUAAAGUGCUUUCAGUUGGGAAGAAAAAAAAUGACGGUACCAACAGAAGAAGUGACGGCUAAAUACGUGCCAGCAGCCGCGGUAAUACGUAUGUCACAAGCGUUAUCCGGAUUUAUUGGGCGUAAAGCGCGUCUAGGUGGUUAUGUAAGUCUGAUGUGAAAAUGCAGGGCUCAACUCUGUAUUGCGUUGAAAACUGCAUGACUAGAGUACUGGAGAGGUAAGCGGAACUACAAGUGUAGAGGUGAAAUUCGUAGAUAUUUGUAGGAAUGCCGAUGGGGAAGCCAGCUUACUGGACAGAUACUGACGCUAAAGCGCGAAAGCGUGGGUAGCAAACAGGAUUAGAUACCCUGGUAGUCCACGCCGUAAACGAUGAUUACUAGGUGUUGGGGGUCGAACCUCAGCGCCCAAGCUAACGCGAUAAGUA